Ribosomal RNA from Felis catus (domestic cat), 125 nucleotides. The record is from Rfam. NCBI's taxonomy places the organism in Eukaryota, Metazoa, Chordata, Mammalia, Carnivora, Felidae.
CUCUACGGCCAUACCACCCUGAAUGCGCCCGAUCUCGUCUGAUCUCAGAAGCUAAGCAGGGUCGGGCCUGGUUAGUACUUGGAUAGGAGAAGGCAUGAAGGUGAAGAAUAGUGGAACUGGAAAGU